RNAcentral lists this ribosomal RNA (256 nucleotides) under uncultured bacterium. Its description in RNAcentral is "partial 16S ribosomal RNA". It matches the Rfam family "Bacterial small subunit ribosomal RNA", at positions 524 to 776 of the family's 1533-position model. The record is from RNAcentral.
UACGUAGGGUGCGAGCGUUGCCCGGAUUUAUUGGGCGUAAAGGGCGCGUAGGCGGCCUGGCAAGUGGAAGGUGAAAUCCCUCGGCUUAAACCGAGGAACUGCCCUCCAAACUGCUUGGCUUGAGUCCGGGAGAGGUGAGUGGAAUUCCCAGUGUAGCGGUGAAAUGCGUAGAUAUUGGGAGGAACACCAGUGGCGAAGGCGGCUCACUGGACCGGAACUGACGCUGAGGGCGCGAAAGCGGUGGGGAGCAAACGGG